Molecule: ribosomal RNA, 262 nt
Filed under: uncultured archaeon
Lineage: Archaea
Description: partial 16S ribosomal RNA
Rfam family: Archaeal small subunit ribosomal RNA
Source: RNAcentral
AGGGUGUAAACGCUGCAGACUUGGUGUUGGGAACCCUUCGGGGGUGUCCAGUGCCGGAGAGAAGUUGUUAAGUCUGCUACUUGGGGAGUACGUCCGCAAGGAUGAAACUUAAAGGAAUUGGCGGGGGAGGCACCGCAACGGGAGGAGCGUGCGGUUUAAUUGGAUUCAACACCGUAAAACUCACCAGGGAAGACUGUUACAUGAAGGCCGAGAUGAAGACUCUGCUAGAUUUUCAGAGAGGUGGUGCAUGGCGUAGACGUCU